Molecule: unclassified non-coding RNA, 260 nt
Filed under: uncultured fungus
Lineage: Eukaryota; Fungi
Description: partial contains 18S rRNA, ITS1, 5.8S rRNA, ITS2 and 28S rRNA
Source: RNAcentral
AAGGAUCAUUAUUGAAUAAAUCUGGUGGGUUGUCGCUGGCUCUUCGGAGCAUGUGCACGCUCUCCAAUUUUAUCCAUCCACCUGUGCACCAUGUGUAGUCUUGAGGGAGAAAGGAUUUGUGGUCGGCUUGCUGGCUGCGAAAUCGUCCUCUCGAGUCUAUGUCUUUUCUAUACACCACAUAGUAUAUUGCAGAAUGUAUUAAUGGGCCUUCGUGCCUAUAAAACGUUAUACAACUUUCAGCAACGGAUCUCUUGGCUCUC